RNAcentral lists this non-coding RNA (29 nucleotides) under Homo sapiens (human). Lineage: Eukaryota; Metazoa; Chordata; Mammalia; Primates; Hominidae. The record is from RNAcentral.
UGGGAACUGCAGUGGAUGGCCACAGUUGA